Molecule: ribosomal RNA, 484 nt
Filed under: uncultured bacterium
Lineage: Bacteria
Description: partial 16S ribosomal RNA
Rfam family: Bacterial small subunit ribosomal RNA
Source: RNAcentral
AAUGAACGUUGGCGGCGUGGAUUAGGCAUGCAAGUCGUGCGGAAAGGCUCCUUCGGGAGUACUCGAGCGGCGAAAGGGAGAGUAACGCGUGGAUAUCUACCCCCUGGCCUGGGAUAGCGGCGGGAAACUGCCGGUAAUACCAGACAAGAUCUGCGGAUCAAAGGUGUGAUUCCGCCGGGGGAUCAGUCCGCGUCCUAUUAGCUAGUUGGUGAGGUAACGGCCCACCAAGGCUGAGAUGGGUACCGGGUGUGAGAGCAUGGCCCGGCUCACUGGGACUGAGACACCGCCCAGACACCUACGGGUGGCUGCAGUCGAGAAUCUUCGGCAAUGGGCGCAAGCCUGACCGAGCGACGCCGCGUGCGGGAUGAAGGCCUUCGGGUUGUAAACCGCUGUCAGAGGGGAGGAAAUGCAUGGGGGUUCUCCCUCAUGUUUGACCUAUCCUCAGAGGAAGUACGGGCUAAGUUCGUGCCAGCAGCCGCAGUAA